Molecule: transfer RNA, 68 nt
Filed under: Myotis petax
Lineage: Eukaryota; Metazoa; Chordata; Mammalia; Chiroptera; Vespertilionidae
Description: tRNA-Ile
Source: RNAcentral
GUUCAAUAUAGUAAUAGUAUAUAUGUUAAUAUUUUGAUACAUUAUAAAAUUAUUUAAUAAAUUUAAUA